Molecule: ribosomal RNA, 546 nt
Filed under: Lariscus insignis (three-striped ground squirrel)
Lineage: Eukaryota; Metazoa; Chordata; Mammalia; Rodentia; Sciuridae
Description: partial 16S ribosomal RNA
Rfam family: Bacterial large subunit ribosomal RNA
Source: RNAcentral
CACUUCUAGCAUUAACAGUAUUAGAGGCACUGCCUGCCCAGUGACAUAUGUUAAACGGCCGCGGUAUCCUGACCGUGCAAAGGUAGCAUAAUCAUUUGUUCCUUAAAUAGGGACUUGUAUGAACGGCUAAACGAGGGCUUAUCUGUCUCUUACUUCUAAUCAGUGAAAUUGACCUUCCCGUGAAGAGGCGGGAAUAAUCCAAUAAGACGAGAAGACCCUAUGGAGCUUAAAUUAAUUAAUUCAAACACCCAAUAACUAAAUCUACUAGAGAUAAACUUUUGCCUAAUGAAUUAAGAAUUUCGGUUGGGGUGACCUCGGAGCAUAACAUAACCUCCGAAUGAUAUUAAUCCAGACUACUAACCAGUCUAAAUAAAAUUCAUAAAUUGACCCAAUCUAUUGAUCAACGGAACAAGUUACCCUAGGGAUAACAGCGCUAUCUCACUCGAGAGUUCAUAUCGACAGUGGGGUUUACGACCUCGAUGUUGGAUCAGGACAUCCAAAUGGUGCAGCCGCUAUUAAUGGUUCGUUUGUUCAACGAAUAAAGUC